Long non-coding RNA from Heterocephalus glaber (naked mole-rat), 2956 nucleotides. The record is from Ensembl. Lineage: Eukaryota; Metazoa; Chordata; Mammalia; Rodentia; Bathyergidae.
CACACAUUUCAGUAGCAUAUGAAGCGGUUUGGAAGCAUUGUGCAAGAGUUAAGUCCCUCACCCCAAAUGCAGUGACGCAGAGAGCUACAAGAUGAGGUGCAUCUUCAUCUUCCCCUUCUGGCACAACCUAAAGCCAAACUGGCAGAGAAGAAAACCACCAAAAAGUACAGCCAGCAUGUGGGUAGGGUUGGAUUCGCAGCCUCUGGCCUGUGACUUUGCGUGACUACUUUGCGCGACUACUUUGUGUGACUCCUCAAAGCACAGGCAGUUGAGAGUCUGAUGACACUCAAGGCCACGCGCUGUGAUGUCCAAAAUUAACUCAGCUGCUAACUGUGCUACUGCCUCCGCGGUUUGAUUGCACCCUGCCUUCCUUGAGAACGCCCCCAAGGGAUAAAGAGGAUGUUGCUCAUAUGUGCAUUUCUGAGUUUUUUUUUUUUUCUUAGUGGACAGAAAUUUUCCAUUGUGUGGGGAUUUUUUGGUCUCAUCUGAAAUCUGGUUUCCACGUAGCCUGGCGCUAUUAGUCCAGUCAUUUUACCUGACCUCUUUCUUUACUUUGGGCACAAGACAAGGCCGAGCUCAUUCUUUCGUGACAGCCACUCUGCCACCUAAGCAGAACUAACCGUCAAAAGAGCAGGCGAAUUGUAAUUCUUAAAAAAUCCAUAAGCCAGCAGUUCCUUUUAACCACAGUGACUUUCCCGGCUGGCUCGUUGUGCUGAGGCAGCGGCGCGGCUGCACAGCAGAGCGAGGCUUGGCCCCGCCUCCCUUGGCAGGAGGGCGCUGUGGCGCGUGCAAGCUCUGCUGUCCUGCCCUUCCUGUGGGACCCAGUAUGGCGUUCUAGUGAUUGUUAGCAUGCGGACUGAAUAAACGCUCGGCUUCACUGAUGUUCCCAGCCUUACAUUUGCUAAACUGUGUCAACCAGAUGGCAGCAAGGACAUCUGUGGCAGUACAGAAAUCAAGAGAUGAGAAAAGGAAAUAAAGAAUCGUGGAGAGAACUGAUUUCAUGAACCAACGUGCCACUACCCAUAGAUGUGGAAGAGGUGUUGGAGCCCCAUCCAGAGGAGCUUUGUGAGAGCCGCCAGCACCCGACUGGGGAGGCCAGGAAGCCACGGCCGGCACUCAGAGCGAGGGAGCUCAGGCCCAGCUCAGCAAGGAGGCUCGACUAGAAGCCAGGCCCUUACCCAGGCCACUCCGUGGGACCCUCUGGAAGUGUUUCUCAUAACAAGAAGAGGUGGCUGUGCAGGAAGGAAACUCGGAGACUCUGUGUGACCUGUUGUCUGCCGUCAUUAGACCGGUCUGAGCUUGUAUCCAGACUCCGUGAGGCCCUGGGAUCCCAGCCAGGUGCUCAGCUCUGGGCGAGUUUCAUCCUCAUGAAUAAUGGGGAUAAAAUACCCAAUUUUAGGCUCGCUGUGGAAGAAAUUGAGAGGCUCCCUGUACUAUUCCCAGUCAACCUGAGCCUCUUGUUUCCUGAGAAGACAAACACGACAUCCACCAUUAUCGCUGCUGGGCCAGAAGAAGGGAUUAAUGAACUCCAGUCCUCACAGAAGCCCCACGGAAAGAGGCCGUCACCCCCACUCUACCCUGGGGAACAGGGGUCACAAAACUGCUAAGGAGCCAGUCAGAGCUGGUAACGGGAUGGAGAGCCCAGGACUCAAACCAGUCACAGGUCCUGUGCUGUUCCUCGGUCAUCUUCCUGAUAGAAAAGAGGAAAGUGCCUCCGAAGGGAGCCCCACCGUGCAGAGUAUGAGGGAGUGGGAUAAGGAUUAAAAGAAGACAGCACCAUAGAGCAAGAUGAGAGAGGUUUCCAAAGGCUGCGUCUAGGACGAGCCAGGGGACCUUGAUAGCUGAGACGUUAACUCUGCAGAGAGAGGGAGAGAAGAUGAACCAGAGGACGCCUAGAACCGGUGAGCACCACGCAGGGUCCUUCAGAGACGGCGGAGUCCCGUGCUGAGAGCUCCCUCCAAGGCUGGGAUAGCUUGGGCACUUCUCUUUGCUCACGGAGAAAUCCCAAAGGCAUUUGGUUUUCUUUGAGGCCUCUACUCCCCAUUUCUUGGUGGCCAUUAUUAGUUCAAUCAAAAGGUGGCAGCCUUCGGGGCGAAUGAGCCCCCUCUUCUGAGCCAGGGAGCCCGCUUCGAAGGUGUAGCAGGCUCCGGUUUCAAGUCCCUGAUCAGGGCCAGCUGUAGCCGACCCACCCCGUCGACUCGUUGGGGACCUAGACCUGCUACUUCCUUCUCCCUGACCUGGGGGUGAAUGAGGAGGAUGAAUGGCAAACAGACACAGAGUCAGUUUAAUUUUCAGGCAGCCAGAGGAGGCCCUAGUGUCUGACUCAUCUUGCCUCUAUUUACCCGAAUGGGUGCAAGCAAUCAGAGAAACACAGGAUCCACCUGCUUUCCGGGAUUCAUUACUACAAACUCUGGUAAACAACUUAACCUCCGGCGUCCUAACUUUUCCCUGGAUCCCGCACUAUGCGGUCACCCCUGAGAGCAGCCUUCCUCCUUUGUGCUCACAGAGGGGCCAGCUAGGCCUCAGUUCUCCUCUGCUCUCUGGCACUCAGGUGCAAGAGGGUAACCUUGCUUCUAUCCCAAAGCCAAGCCUGAGCCACCAUGGGUGGAGGCAGGAGACAUCCAAGGUCACAUAGAUGUAAAGCUUGACUUGGGGCCCAGCUGCUGUGGCCAGAGGCUGUCCUUCCACCAAUGAUGUCGCUAACCUGAGGAGCUGGAGCCAGCAGCGCUUGAUGCCCUGCCAUCCCGCUACUGCCAGCAACAGGACUCUGCUCCUCUGACCUUUGGCCCAGGCGCCUCCCGUUGCAUCUCCUCCCAACACUUCCCAUGGUGCCCGCUGGAGUCCCCUGUCCACUGUCGAAUCCCCAACCUGUUCUUUGACUUUUGACAUUAAAACAAAAGAAAGAGAUGGAAAGAAAUGUCAGCAAUUUUCUGUUUCCCCUGUUGUUUUAGGCUGA